Molecule: ribosomal RNA, 406 nt
Filed under: uncultured bacterium
Lineage: Bacteria
Description: partial 16S ribosomal RNA
Rfam family: Bacterial small subunit ribosomal RNA
Source: RNAcentral
ACUGAACGCUGGCGGCAGGCCUAACACAUGCAAGUCGAGCGAGCGGCGGACGGGUGAGUAAUGUUUGGGAAACUGCCUGUUGGAUGGGGAUAACUACUGGAAACGGUAGCUAAUACCGCAUAACAUCAGAUGUGCCCAGAUGGGAUUAGUUAGUAGGUGGGGUAACGGCUCACCUAGGCGACGAACCCUAGCUGGUCUGAGAGGAUGACCAGCCACACUGUAACUGAGACACGGUCCAGACUCCUACGGUAGGCAGCAGUGGGGAAUAGUGCACAAUGGGCGAAAGCCUGAUCCAGCAAUGCCGCGUGUGUGAAGAAGGCCUUCGGGUUGUAAAGCACUUUCAGCGGGGAGGCGUUACCCGCAGAAGAAGCACCGGCUAACUACGUGCCAGCAGCCGCGGUAAUAC